AUGACCCAAAGGCCCAGGGAUGUUUCCACAGCUUACAGAGGUCCACUCAGCAUCAAGUCAGCGGCAGAGCUGAUGGGUACAGCAACCAGUCACCUGGGGGACCAGAGAGCUGAAGGAAAGCUGGCUUUUCUGAAAGUUGCUGCAGUGAGAAGACAUUUAUCAUAUUGAACAAAGACUGAAGAAACUGUAGAAUUAGCAGAAACAUUAGA
Molecule: long non-coding RNA, 209 nt
Filed under: Phascolarctos cinereus (koala)
Lineage: Eukaryota; Metazoa; Chordata; Mammalia; Diprotodontia; Phascolarctidae
Description: lncRNA (ENSPCIG00000020117.2)
Source: RNAcentral